Molecule: RNA transcript, 1531 nt
Organism: Coffea eugenioides
Lineage: Eukaryota; Viridiplantae; Streptophyta; Magnoliopsida; Gentianales; Rubiaceae
Gene name: pyruvate decarboxylase 1-like
Exons: 4
Source: RefSeq, a predicted model, not a curated record
UCGAAAGUUCAAUCGCAACCUCCCUGCACCUUUCUCCUUCUACCAUUGCCCAGGAAGACAACUCCACCUUUCAAGACUUCCUGCCUACCAUUGCCCAUAGUCUUUCAAAAGCACCAAAACUUACAAACACAACACACGGUCACGCACUCCCCAGUCUCCAGUCUCCAGUUUCAAGUUUCAACACCCACCCCCCCCCCAUCCCACCGCCCACAAACAAAGACGCUGCUAUGAUGCCAAGCUAUAAAUACAUGAUCAUCCCAUGAUCAUGCGACCUAAAACCAGAAAGCUCUUUUAAACCGAAAACCCCGAAAGUUUAUAACAAUUUCUUGAAAAAAAAAAAAGUCCAGAAACGUGACAGAAAUGGAAAUUCAAGCUAUUCAUGGAAGUGGCAUCACGGCUUGCUCAGCUCAGGCUCCAGCGGGAGGAAGUCUUGGGAGCCACUUGGCUAAGCGGCUGGUGCAGAUUGGCGUGAAGGACGUGUUCUCAGUUCCUGGGGACUUCAACCUAGCGCUGUUGGAUCAUCUCAUAGCCGAGCCGGAGUUGAAUCUGAUCGGCUGCUGUAAUGAGCUGAACGCUGGAUACGCAGCUGGCGGCUACGCACGCGCCAAGGGAGUCGGAGCGUGUGUGGUGACGUUCACUGUGGGUGGGCUGAGUGUGUUGAAUGCAAUCGCUGGGGCUUAUAGUGAGAAUUUGCCAGUCAUAUGUAUCGUUGGUGGGCCCAAUUCCAAUGACUAUGGGACCAACCGGAUCUUGCAUCACACUAUUGGGUUACCCGAUUUCUCUCAGGAGCUCCGGUGCUUUCAGACAGUUACUUGUAUUCAGCUUGCAGGACAACCUCUUUUCUUUUGGGAGACAACUCCACAGCCCAGGAAGCAUACCCUGUGGUAGGCAACAUCUGAUUUUACUUGGGGUCAGGCCAGCAUACAAAGGCGUCAUUUUCUGCAGUGUCCACAAGGCUUGUUGGGAAAGCAUUUCGAAAAGCUUAUUCAAUGUGAUCCUCGUCUUAACUUCCUGAGUAAACAAGGAGUGAUAACGUUGGAUUCUCCAUAUUUUGAACCCAGAAUCUCUGUGUUUGAUGACCCAAGUGAAAACAAAGCUGCAUUUGAUUUGAACAAUCAUGAGAGUCCCACUUUCUUCAACUUGAAGGGAUGCAGCAUCACCAUCAGGUGGUCAAUCAUCAUCUUCGAGGAAUAAACAAGACAUUGUUAGUAGACCUCGAGAAGACAUGAAACACCAUCACCCAGCUCAGUAAUGGAUACGCAUGUAAUUGAAGAAAUAAAAAAUGGUGGAGGAGAGCAAACAUGAUAUGGUUAUGAAGCUCUUACAAGCUACUUCGAUUAUGGACUUCGCCAAUUAAUGCAAACAUGAUACUCAUUGUAUAUUGGCACAGGGUCUAUCUUAGCAUUUGUUAUCUCUAGCAAUUUUGGUUGUACAUAUUAAAGCCCAAUUAGAAUUUGAUUUGAGUAUCUUUGUGCUUUGUACUGUUGAUAGUAUUGGUUGUAAUAUAUUAUUGCUCGUUUUGUAUUUGUAA